Non-coding RNA from Cricetulus griseus (Chinese hamster), 1036 nucleotides. The record is from RefSeq and is a predicted model, not a curated record. Lineage: Eukaryota; Metazoa; Chordata; Mammalia; Rodentia; Cricetidae.
AGAAGUAGCUGGAUCUCCACUCAGGCAGCAGGAAGAAAAGGCACUGGGCCUGGCUUGCCCUUUUGAAAUGUCAACUCCCUCCCCACCCUCACCCCCAGUGACACCUCUUAAUCCCUUCAAAUGGUGCCACUUCCUGUUGACCAAGCAUUCAAAUCUAUGAGCCUAUGGGAGCCAUUCUCAUUCAAGCCACCACAACUAUUGAUUUAUAAUUAAAAUUUAUUGUUCACAGUUCUGAGGUCUGGAAGGUCUAAGAUCAAGGUGCCCUCAGAUUCUGUGACAAAGCACGUUGAGAAGGUUGGGGAGACGGAAAAGCCACUGUCCAAUUCUUCUCUAAGGGUGACUAAUCACCUAUAUGCCUUUGUGAUCGAAUCAAAUCCGAAAGGCCCCACACCUAAUACUGUUGCCUUGGCAACUAUAUUUCAACACAGGACUUGGGAGGAUAAAUGAAUGACUUACAGGAACUGGAUACAUAAUGUCUCGCUCACAUUCCGAAGCCACUUCUCUUCUACACACCCUUUCACCUGCCACCAUCAACAGUCCUCAUUCCUGCUGGUCAGAGCCUCAGGUGUGAGGCCCAGGGAUAGGAUGCAGAGCCAAGUCUCAGGCCCAGUCACACCACAGCUCAGUAACACCAACCGGCCCUGACCCCUCCCCACAAAGCAAUCAGCUGGCUUGAGAACGAUGACUAAAAGAAUCAAUCACCAGCCUGGAGGCUGGCCUAUAGGGACAAGUGGAGUGAAGAAACUAACAGAUAGUAACUUACUAUUUUCCUGCCUUUGAGUGUGCCAUUGACCAACUACAGGAAUGGCAGAUACCUCUGGCUGGUAAAAGGAGUCACUGAAACACCUAUUCUUUCAGCAAGAUGUAGAAAAAUAUUCAUGUUAAUGCAAAAUCAGUUUUAUCACAGGACUGGUAUGAAAAUAUCAAAAUGGCCCAGGCAUGAUGCCACACGCCUUUAAUCCUAGCACUUGGGAGACAGAGGCAGACAGAACUCUGAGGUCAAGGCCAGCCUGGUCUACAGAGUGAGUUCCAGAAC